This 73-nucleotide transfer RNA is filed under the name Candidatus Sericytochromatia bacterium. RNAcentral describes it as "tRNA-Arg". It matches the Rfam family "tRNA". Rfam says of the family: Transfer RNA (tRNA) molecules are approximately 80 nucleotides in length. Their secondary structure includes four short double-helical elements and three loops (D, anti-codon, and T loops). Further hydrogen bonds mediate the characteristic L-shaped molecular structure. tRNAs have two regions of fundamental functional importance: the anti-codon, which is responsible for specific mRNA codon recognition, and the 3' end, to which the tRNAs corresponding amino acid is attached (by aminoacyl-tRNA synthetases). tRNAs cope with the degeneracy of the genetic code in two manners: having more than one tRNA (with a specific anti-codon) for a particular amino acid; and 'wobble' base-pairing, i.e. permitting non-standard base-pairing at the 3rd anti-codon position. The record is from RNAcentral. Lineage: Bacteria; Bacillati; Candidatus Sericytochromatia.
GCCCUCGUAGCUCAGUGGAUAGAGCGAGACCGUCCUAAGGUCUGCGUCGUAGGUUCGAUUCCUUCCGAGGGCA